AUGAACGCUGGCGGCGUGCCUAAUACAUGCAAAUCGAGCGAACGGACGAGAAGCUUGCUUUUCUGAUGUUAGCGGCGGACGGGUGAGUAACACGUGGAUAACCUACCUAUAAGACUGGGAUAACUUCGGGAAACCGGAGCUAAUACCGGAUAAUAUUUUGAACCGCAUGGUUCAAAAGUGAAAGACGGUCUUGCUGUCACUUAUAGAUGGAUCCGCGCUGCAUUAGCUAGUUGGUAAGGUAACGGCUUACCAAGGCAACGAUGCAUAGCCGACCUGGGAGGGUGAUCGGCCACACUGGAACUGAGACACGGUCCAGACUCCUACGGGAGGCAGCAGUAGGGAAUCUUCCGCAAUGGGCGAAAGCCUGACGGAGCAACGCCGCGUGAGUGAUGAAGGUCUUCGGAUCGUAAAACUCUGUUAUUAGGGAAGAACAUAUGUGUAAGUAACUGUGCACAUCUUGACGGUACCUAAUCAGGAAGCCACGGCUAACUACGUG
RNAcentral lists this ribosomal RNA (496 nucleotides) under uncultured bacterium. Its description in RNAcentral is "partial 16S ribosomal RNA". It matches the Rfam family "Bacterial small subunit ribosomal RNA", at positions 29 to 507 of the family's 1533-position model. The record is from RNAcentral.